Molecule: long non-coding RNA, 3472 nt
Organism: Lolium perenne
Lineage: Eukaryota; Viridiplantae; Streptophyta; Magnoliopsida; Poales; Poaceae
Source: RefSeq, a predicted model, not a curated record
ACUAUAUUAAAGAUGAACAAACAUCUUUUUUCACAGAAUUUUGGAGUAUGAUUAGGAUUUAUUGUGCUGCUAACACGUAUGCUAUUUAGAUAAUUUGAUUUCUCUAGAGGGCAUACCGUGUACACUUCUGGUGUCUUGUGAGAAUUUUUAGGUGAGCUUGCGGCUCCUGCAUUGUUACCACGUGCACAUUCUGGUUCCUUCUUCUCUCUUUAGCUUUAGUGUUGUGUUAUGUUGCGAUGUGGCUUUUGCUAUUUAGGUAGCUGCUCAAGUUUUGUCUGGCACUGCUUAACUCUUUACCUGCUAGAUCUGUUCUUGCCGCACCGCUUUGAUCCCCUCUAGAAAAUUCGCGUCAGUGCCCACGCGACACGUCCUCCCUUCAUCUCAGGCUUUCAGCCACUUCAUCCCCAGCACAAGCCCUUCCGUUUCCGGCGGUCUUGCGACCUCCAACGCGGUGGUUGUCACCGAGGCGCUCCCGCCGUCCCCCGCCGACGUUGUAGCUCCCCUCCUGGAUGGCUGCUCUCGAAUCGACCGUCCGGUUCGCCGGGUGGGUGCACGACGACCAGAAGCGCUGGCGGCUGCUCCGGAUCGGGGAGCACUGCAUUACCUCGGGCCGCCCUGCUGCCAUCGACGACGCCGUGGGAGAGGUGGGGUGCAGAGGAUAGUUCCAGCGUAGCGGGGCAGAGGCGCACGAACGGAGGGGAUCCGGGUGGCGGCGGCUCUUGGCCUUGCCGCUUCGUGAGCAGUGGGGGCAGCUGCGGCGGCCGGCGCUUCUCGGUCGCGAGUUCAACAAGGGGGCACCGCAAUUUUAUCCAGGCGAGAGAAGGGGUGGCGUGCGGCCAGGCCACCCACGCACGACAUGGCUCGACGGCCGCCGCGACCACCUCGCUGUUCCAAGAUGCGGCAGCGCUCGACAAUCACCUCCGUAAGCGCCACUUCGUGGUGCUGCACGCCAAGCCGCUCGCUGUCACUCGCCGGACGCUUCGCCGGCGACAGGAGUACGUAGUGGUAAGAGCGGUUUCACGCCGGCGAACACAAGAGGGCCGCGGUGACCCUGGAGGGCAGGUGCGAGGAAGCGUCCACCGCGGUUUCUACGCCGGGUAGGAGACGCCCUGCUUCCUGGAUGAGCUCACUGAUACGUUUACCUCAUGCACCCGUCGACUAAUGGCUGAACCAUGGCUGCCAAUAAUCCAAUAUCAUGUCGGAAGUAAACACUGAAGUGGAGGACAAGGAGGGGAAUCUGAAGCUCAAGAUAACUGACUGCAGACUGGAGGUUGAUACUGAUAAAUUUAUCAGCUACCUGUGCCUUGAAACCUCUUGGAUUUCCUAUGGUCUGCGACAUUUUUCCAUUAACAACAGAGGUUGACAACAAAACACUUAGACAUGUUUGUUCCACGGGUAUUUUUUUUCUUCUCUUUAAUCAAAUGAUGAUGAAUUGAACUUAAAGUUACUUCAACACUCUCCCUCUUUAAUCAAAUGAGAAUACUCUAAAUUUGAGCUCUCCGUGAAGAAACAAUUUUAUUUGUCUUAUUACCUCUAGAAAUUUCUCUUAUCAAUGCCUCCGUUGUCCAAGCCACAAAGCUUCAGUUUCUAGGGAGAGGUUCUCUGUCAUACUCUGAUAUGCAUAGGACAUACAAGUGCGCUCAUAAUCUGAGUAUAGUAAAAUGGAUGAGUCUGAACAAAUUCACCCAGUAUACUAUCUCACUUUCUUUUCAAAAUUCAAACCCUUCACUUGUAUGUUACAUUGACUACAUUAUUAGCAUAACCAAAUUUAGAUUUAUUUGUACCGAAAUUGCUGAACAUGAAGCAGAAGUGAGGAACCGGAGAUGUAUGUAGUGUUUGCGUGCAUAGGUAUGGUCACACAUGUUCGGAGAUUUAAGUUGCAAGUUAGCUACACACCCAAUGGAGCCAUGUUGCAUAACCACUUUUAGAUUUAUUUGUACCGAAAUGUCUGAACAUAAAGCAGAAGUAUAUCUUCUUUGAUGAAUGAGGAACCGGAGAUGUAUAUAUUGUUUGCAUGCAUAGGUAUACAUGUACGGAGAUUUAAGUUGCAAGUUAACUACACACCCAAUGGAGCCAUGUUCAAGUAUGAAUUGCAUUAGCUUAACUUCCCACUGGUAAUCCACUCCUCAGAUGAACCAGAUAUCAUCUUGUGCAAAUACAUGAAGGGUAAUCUUGAGCAUUGUUUUAAGGGAUUCUCGAAAGUUUAUAUGCAAUUUACAGUCUUUAGGACUUCUCGAAAGUUUAUAUGCAAUUCCAUUCAGCAGUUUGUCACAUUAUGUACAGGUUUGUUAUUGUUCUGCAGGACAUGGCCUUUAUCUUUGGUCUGGGCAACACACAAUACUUUCGAACUGAUUAACACCUAUGUGUAGUAUAUAGCAUAAGUAUUCAGCGAACAAUUAUGCUUGGCGUUAGAUUUGCUUUGAAAUCAAGAGACAUGACCUGAAUCAUUCACACAUACUUCUGAUUUCUUUGCUUGGCCAUGUAUAUUUUUUCUCAUUCUUAAUUAUCUUUUCAACUGCACUUCAUUAUUUUCUACAUUCAAAAUUUCUGGCCAACUAUUUUAACAGUUAACUACAUUAGAAUUGUUUUUAGUGAUUGCCUUAUGUUUCAAUGUUGACACCUUACAACAAAUUUUUUCCGCUGAUGCAUCUCAUACUUAGUUAGAAAUACAUGUAAGGAAGCGUGAACUUUUGCAGGUUUCUUAUGGUAUAUAGUGCAGGCGGAUAUUUGAAUGGACUUACAGGUUAGUGACCGCGACAAAGGUUCCAAGGUUACCAUUGAGAGGCUACGAGACCUCUAGAAUCUUCUCGCCAUCGGAGUCCUGACCUGAAUCUAAGAAGCCCACGUCCUCAUUGGGAUAUCUCUAGAUUCCAUGUCAGAGAAGAACUUGGGUCUUCUGCAUACAUAUAUUAUUUUAUUUUACUUCUAGAGACCUCUAGAAUCUUCUCGCCAUCGGAGUCCUGACCUGAAUCCAAGAAGCCCACCUGCUCACUGGGAUAUCUCUGCAUUGCCUGUCAGUGGAGAACUUGGGUCUUCUGCAUACAGAUAGCCACUACCGUUUAUCUCACAGAGGAAAGGAUAAUGCAAAGCCAAGUAAGCGCUUCAUGAUAGGUGCACUGAUGCCUCAAGUUAUGCAUGUAUGAGACAAGGUUGUCAUCUUUUUUGUUUGAGGCAUGAAAUAUGGAAGGAACAUUCAAAAUUGAUUCUAACAAAGGUGAUGCAUCCUGGUGCUUAGGGAAGGCCAAGCCUCUUGAGUUUUUCCAUCCAUGUAUCAGCUUGGCUAACAAAAUUUAUGAUAAGGCAACUGUUUAUUUCCUGGAAUUCGUCUUAAUGUGAUCUAUGUAUUCUGCUUGAGUGUUGGUCAGUAUAUUAGCUAUUUGGAAACAUAAUGGUAGUGAACAUAAUGGUAGUGAUCAGGUCAGUGUAUGCUAUAUCAGAUUUUGUUACCAACCAUCUUAGAGCCUAUUGGUUA